CCGGGGAUCUCCCCGGUGCACUCUUCUGGGGGCAGGCCAGCAUCAGUUCGGGCGGUUGGAGAAAGACCUGUGUCAUGUAGCUGUUCUCGGGCAGUGUUAUAGGGCAGGUGGAAUGCAACCAGCCUGAACUGAGGUCCGCGCUUUUGCUAGGAUGCUGGCGUAAUGGCUGUAAGCGGCCCGUCUUGAAACACGAACCAAGGAGUCUAACAUCUAUGCGAGUGUUUGGGUGUCAAGCCCGAGCGCGUAAUGAAAGUGAACGGAGGUGGGAACCCCUCGGGGUGCACCAUCGACCGAUCCUGAUGUCUUCGGAUGGAUUUGAGUAAGAGCAUAGCUGUUGGGACCCGAAAGAUGGUGAACUAUGCCUGAAUAGGGUGAAGCCAGAGGAAACUCUGGUGGAGGCUCGCAGCGGUUCUGACGUGCAAAUCGAUCGUCAAAUUUGGGCAUAGGGGCGAAAGACUAAUCGAACUAUCUAGUAGCUGGUUCCUGCCGAAGUUUCCCUCAGGAUAGCAGUAACGUUUUCAGUUUUAUGAGGUAAAGCGAAUGAUUAGAGGCCUGGGGGUUGAAACAACCUUCACCUAUUCUCAAACUUUAAAUAUGUAAGAAGUCCUUGUUUCUUAAUUGAACGUGGACAUUUGAAUGUAUCGUUACUAGUGGGCCAUUUUUGGUAAGCAGAACUGGCGAUGCGGGAUGAACCGAACGCGGGGUUAAGGUGCCAGAAUGCACGCUCAUCAGACACCACAAAAGGUGUUGGUUCAUCUAG
RNAcentral lists this ribosomal RNA (760 nucleotides) under uncultured Ascomycota. RNAcentral describes it as "LSU rRNA". It matches the Rfam family "Eukaryotic large subunit ribosomal RNA", at positions 460 to 1236 of the family's 3401-position model. The record is from RNAcentral. Lineage: Eukaryota; Fungi; Ascomycota.